This is a long non-coding RNA of Saccostrea cuccullata (small rock oyster), 428 nucleotides long. RefSeq lists it as uncharacterized. Lineage: Eukaryota; Metazoa; Mollusca; Bivalvia; Ostreida; Ostreidae. The transcript has 4 exons. The record is from RefSeq and is a predicted model, not a curated record.
UAAAAUAUCCAAAUAUGAAACAGAUGUGUGAGACUCUGUGGCAUGAGGAUUUUUACCAUCAUAUACAUCCACACAUGUUCCAAAUAAAUCCGGGAAGCUCGGCAUAUAUACCCAGUAGAUUGGUACAGAAAACAACGCAACAAGGACAGGAUGCAUUUACUUCUGAAACGAGUGGUCAUCUUUUGGCUGUUUGUAGCAGUCUUCUCUUGUAAAUAUAAUUUUGAAUGCAGUGGAAAGGUUGGUUGUCCAUAUGGUCAACUGGAAGCUUGCUCAUAUAGACAGUGUACAUGUAAAGAAGGGUCGGGAUGCUUGUUUGAUCGUAACUGCAGAGACGACUGCUACCGAAACCAAACCUCUGACUGUCGCUGGUUUAGAUGUUAUUGUCAUAAUACUAAAUAAAAAAGGAAAUCGUUUUGCAAAUCACAUCA